GAAAUGCGAUAAGUAAUGUGAAUUGCAGAAUUCAGUGAAUCAUCGAAUCUUUGAACGCACAUUGCGCCCGCCAGUACUCUGGCGGGCAUGCCUGUCCGAGCGUCAUUUCAACCCUCGCGCCCAUCCGGGCGCGGCGUUGGGGAUCGGAAGCGCGGCCCCGGCUCGCCCCGUCCCCCAAAUCCAGUGGCGGCCCCGCUGCAGCCUCCCCUGCGUAGUAGCACACCUCGCACCGGAGAGCGGCCCGGCCACGCCGUAAAACCCCCGACUUUCACGAGUUUGACCUCGGAUCAGGUAGGAAUACCCGCUGAACUUAA
This 314-nucleotide unclassified non-coding RNA is filed under the name uncultured Hypocreales. Its description in RNAcentral is "sequence contains ITS1". The stretch from base 1 to 105 matches the Rfam family "5.8S ribosomal RNA", at positions 50 to 154 of the family's 154-position model. The record is from RNAcentral. Lineage: Eukaryota; Fungi; Ascomycota; Sordariomycetes; Hypocreales.